Molecule: long non-coding RNA, 153 nt
Filed under: Mustela putorius furo (domestic ferret)
Lineage: Eukaryota; Metazoa; Chordata; Mammalia; Carnivora; Mustelidae
Description: lncRNA (ENSMPUG00000030015.1)
Source: RNAcentral
CGCUAUUGCAAAUAGCUCUCUGUUUUAGGAUACCAGCAGAAUGCUUCAACAUUUUGUCUGAUCCUUGCUCUCUCAGUGUUUUUACAGACUCCGCAGUGAGGGCUUGCCGUGUCCUGCUGCAGGUGUUUGUUCACUAGUCUGCAUGUCCUGCGC